Limulus polyphemus (Atlantic horseshoe crab) is the source of this 771-nucleotide long non-coding RNA. RefSeq lists it as uncharacterized. The record is from RefSeq and is a predicted model, not a curated record. The transcript is spliced from 3 exons. NCBI's taxonomy places the organism in Eukaryota, Metazoa, Arthropoda, Merostomata, Xiphosura, Limulidae.
GUUUAAUUUAGUGUUCUGAAUAAAAACUAUCAUGAGUUUCAAUGACUUUUCUCACGUGAGAUAGCGAUGUAAGUGUUUUUGUUGUUAUUCGAUAUUUUAUACACGUUUUUCUUCCGUUCCUUUUUCUAUUUAUUUAUAUAAGUAUUAAAAUGUUAUUGAUGGUAUGUUUUUCUUUCGUGUUAGUAGAAAGUUCUGGCCAUUGGCUCCUUCAUACACUGUAUGCAGCCUAUUUGAUAGUUUAUAAGGGGUCAAAAAAGGGCUUUUUGGAAACAAAAUAUCCAACAUUAUAUGGAACCGAAGGUGAACGAACAGAAAUAUCUAGAAAUGUUAUACAGAAGGCAACAUCCAACGCUGAAAAACAUGGGAAGAUACAGCGAGAAGUUUGUACCCAAAUUUUUUUUUAAACACCAGAAGAAAUGGUCAUCGUCCUAUGCCGUUCCAGAAAAUUUAAAUGGCACAAGAAGGCUUUUAGAUUGCGGCUUCCCUUCCAUCAAAAUAAAGUACUUAUUCUGGUGUGUCCACUUCUCAUCCUUCGACGUAACGUGCUGAUGAGUCACUUGUGUCCUCUGCCUAACCUUAGCUUGUCUGAACUCGAGGACGGCCCGUAACUUGAGCCGGAAGGUAAAGAAGGUGAAGAUAGAAGAACAUGAACGAGUUUUCUUUGUAAGGUAUAUGUACUUAAACUGGGCAGGAUUCAUGAUGUCAGUAUAACGAGGUCGUUAAAAGCAAGGAUACAAAAUUUGUACUCUUGAGUGAUCAAUGUAAUCACUU